This 255-nucleotide ribosomal RNA is filed under the name uncultured bacterium. RNAcentral's name for it is "partial small subunit ribosomal RNA". It matches the Rfam family "Bacterial small subunit ribosomal RNA", at positions 26 to 286 of the family's 1533-position model. The record is from RNAcentral.
AGGACGAACGCUGGCGGCGUGCUUAACACAUGCAAGUCGAGCGGAAAGGCCCUUCGGGGUACUCGAGCGGCGAACGGGUGAGUAACACGUGAGCAACCUACCCUUGGCUUUGGGAUAACCCUCGGAAACGGGGGCUAAUACCGAAUAUUACCCCUGUCUGCAUGGGUGGGGGUGGAAAGUUUUUCGGCUGGGGAUGGGCUCGCGGCCUAUCAGCUUGUUGGUGGGGUAAUGGCCUACCAAGGCGACGACGGGUAG